RNAcentral lists this non-coding RNA (24 nucleotides) under Arabidopsis thaliana (thale cress). Lineage: Eukaryota; Viridiplantae; Streptophyta; Magnoliopsida; Brassicales; Brassicaceae. The record is from RNAcentral.
CACAAUCCCCACGAGGAACACUGC